This 253-nucleotide ribosomal RNA is filed under the name uncultured bacterium. RNAcentral describes it as "partial 16S ribosomal RNA". It matches the Rfam family "Bacterial small subunit ribosomal RNA", at positions 524 to 776 of the family's 1533-position model. The record is from RNAcentral.
UACGUAGGGUGCGAGCGUUGUCCGGAAUUAUUGGGCGUAAAGGGCUCGUAGGCGGUUUGUCACGUCGGGAGUGAAAACUCGGGGCUUAACCCCGAGCCUGCUUCCGAUACGGGCUGACUAGAGGUAUGCAGGGGAGAACGGAAUUCCUGGUGUAGCGGUGAAAUGCGCAGAUAUCAGGAGGAACACCGGUGGCGAAAGCGGGUCUCUGGGCAGUAACUGACGCUGAGGAGCGAAAGCGUGGGGAGCGAACAGG